This is a long non-coding RNA of Clarias gariepinus (North African catfish), 374 nucleotides long. RefSeq lists it as uncharacterized. The record is from RefSeq and is a predicted model, not a curated record. NCBI's taxonomy places the organism in Eukaryota, Metazoa, Chordata, Actinopteri, Siluriformes, Clariidae. The transcript is spliced from 3 exons.
AUUUCAGUUGUAAACACUUGCUGUUUCUUUUUGUUUCUAUUAGUUACAAAACUUUUACACUCUCCUUCCAAAUUUUAAGAGACCAUUUGCUAAUCAACAGAAUAUCAACCAUAAAUGCUGACGGCUUAAUUUUUCCACCAGAAAAAGUUUUGAGAUUUUUCCAAGAUAUGCUGUGCUCAUCCCGUCUGAGGAUUCUCCUAAGAGCUGAUGCCCACACCCUACCCCACCCAAAUCGGUACAAUUUUCAUCUGAUUACAGCAUUGGCAGCUUGUAUUCGCCAACUGGAAAAAGUGGUAAAUGCUUUUAUUAAGGGAUUUGAUUAUUGAUUGUUGAUCCCUUUGUUUGUUAGCUUUAAAAAAGGGAAGUCUGGUCAU